This is a long non-coding RNA of Dendroctonus ponderosae (mountain pine beetle), 704 nucleotides long. RefSeq lists it as uncharacterized. Lineage: Eukaryota; Metazoa; Arthropoda; Insecta; Coleoptera; Curculionidae. The record is from RefSeq and is a predicted model, not a curated record. The transcript has 3 exons.
GCGGUGGCAGUAAAACCAAGAUUACUGCGUUUGUUAAUUGAAUGCGCCUUAAUACAUGGGCUUAGAUACGUUUCAGACGCCGAGUAUAAUGAACUGAUAAAAGCCGCCAGCAAUAAUGCGAAAUAAGCCAGAGUGGUCCGAAGCGACUACUGAGUUAGCACGAGCGCAAAACGCGCAAAAAUAUAUGCAUAAACAUGCUUUACUUACAUGUAAAUUAGCCAAACACUUGAAACCGUAUGGUUGAUUUCCUUGUACUGAUUGGAUGAUCGCAGUAGUGAAUACGCGUUGACCACUAAGUGAAUCGAAAAAACCCAAACGAAUGAUUGGAAAACCUGCUCGCGACUGAAACUGUGAUAGACCGGACGAUUAUUUUAACAACAUACCUGCCAUGUAAUUUUUGAUGAUAAUAUUUGCACGAGAUAACAAACGGCUCCAUUCAUGCUGCGUAAUCAUUACUGGAAUAGCAGAGUUUGUGGAACUUGAGUAAGACAUUUUGGGAUUUUACCUAAAAAAAUCGCAUCAUUAACCCAAGCCCAGGGGCCAAAAAACUCGCAGAAAAGAAAGUGCGCCUUAAUAAUUUGAAAGCAUUUUUUGUGAUGAACUUUAAGACAUGUUCAGUGGUCAUUGACUUGUUUUUUGGGCAGCAAUAAAUCAUACUCGAGUGCUGCCUAAGGCAUCUGCCAAUCAAGCCCAACCAGAACAUA